Molecule: ribosomal RNA, 108 nt
Filed under: Acanthosepion pharaonis
Lineage: Eukaryota; Metazoa; Mollusca; Cephalopoda; Sepiida; Sepiidae
Source: RNAcentral
UCAAAUCACGCUGAAACACCGGUUCUCGUUCGAUCACCGAAGUUAAGCAUCGUAGAGCCAGAUCAGUACUUAGAUGGGGGACCGCUUGGGAACACCUGGUACUGUAAG